RNAcentral lists this transfer RNA (73 nucleotides) under Eutrema heterophyllum. Its description in RNAcentral is "tRNA-Lys". It matches the Rfam family "tRNA". From Rfam's summary of the family: Transfer RNA (tRNA) molecules are approximately 80 nucleotides in length. Their secondary structure includes four short double-helical elements and three loops (D, anti-codon, and T loops). The record is from RNAcentral. Lineage: Eukaryota; Viridiplantae; Streptophyta; Magnoliopsida; Brassicales; Brassicaceae.
GGGUUGCUAACUCAACGGUAGAGUACUUCUACUCCAUCCGACUAGUUCCGGGUUCGAGUCCCGGGCAACCCAC